Molecule: ribosomal RNA, 429 nt
Filed under: Actinomycetes bacterium
Lineage: Bacteria; Bacillati; Actinomycetota; Actinomycetes
Description: Actinobacteria bacterium partial 16S ribosomal RNA
Rfam family: Bacterial small subunit ribosomal RNA
Source: RNAcentral
UAGGGAAUCUUCCGCAAUGGGCGAAAGCCUGACGGAGCAACGCCGCGUGAGUGAUGAAGGUCUUCGGAUCGUAAAACUCUGUUAUUAGGGAAGAACAAAUGUGUAAGUAACUAUGCACGUCUUGACGGUACCUAAUCAGAAAGCCACGGCUAACUACGUGCCAGCAGCCGCGGUAAUACGUAGGUGGCAAGCGUUAUCCGGAAUUAUUGGGCGUAAAGCGCGCGUAGGCGGUUUUUUAAGUCUGAUGUGAAAGCCCACGGCUCAACCGUGGAGGGUCAUUGGAAACUGGAAAACUUGAGUGCAGAAGAGGAAAGUGGAAUUCCAUGUGUAGCGGUGAAAUGCGCGGGAUUAUGGAGAAACACCAGUGGCGAAGGCGACUUUCUGGUCUGUAACUGACGCUAAUGUGCGAAAGCGUGGGGAUCAAACAGG